GACGAACGCUGGCGGCGUGCCUAAUACAUGCAAGUAGAACGCUGAAGGAGGAGCUUGCUUCUCUGGAUGAGUUGCGAACGGGUGAGUAACGCGUAGGUAACCUGCCUUGUAGCGGGGGAUAACUAUUGGAAACGAUAGCUAAUACCGCAUAAGAGUAGAUGUUGCAUGACAUUUGCUUAAAAGUUGCACUUGCAUCACUACCAGAUGGACCUGCGUUGUAUUAGCUAGUUGGUGGGGUAACGGCUCACCAAGGCGACGAUACAUAGCCGACCUGAGAGGGGGGUCCGCCAAACUUGGACUGAGAAACGGGCCAAACUUCUUCGGGAGGGAGCAGUAGGGAAUCUUCGGCAAUAGACGGAAGUCUGACCGAGGAACGCCGGGUGAGUGAAAGAGGUUCUCGGAUCGGAAAACUCUGUUGUAAGGGAAGAAAGAGCGUGAGAGUAGAAAGUUCACGCUGUGACGGUAUCUUACCAGAAAGGGACGGCUAACUACGUG
This 495-nucleotide ribosomal RNA is filed under the name uncultured bacterium. Its description in RNAcentral is "partial 16S ribosomal RNA". It matches the Rfam family "Bacterial small subunit ribosomal RNA", at positions 28 to 507 of the family's 1533-position model. The record is from RNAcentral.